This 116-nucleotide ribosomal RNA is filed under the name Mesocricetus auratus (golden hamster). The record is from RNAcentral. Lineage: Eukaryota; Metazoa; Chordata; Mammalia; Rodentia; Cricetidae.
UUUUACAGCCAUACCAUUCUGAACUCCUCUGAUCUUGGAAGCUAAGCAGGGUCGGGCCUGGUUAGUGCUUGGAUGGGAGACAGGAUUUCUCUGCACAGUCCUGGCUGUCCUGGAAC